UACAGAGGUCCCAAGCGUUGUUCGGAUUCACUGGGCGUAAAGGGUGCGUAGGCGGUCGGGUAAGUCUGAUGUGAAAUCUCACAGCUUAACUGUGAAACUGCAUUGGAUACUAUUCGGCUUGAGAGUUGGAGGGGGGACUGGAAUUCUUGGUGUAGCAGUGAAAUGCGUAGAUAUCAAGAGGAACACCAGUGGCGAAGGCGGCCCACUGGGCCGGUACUGACGCUGAGGCGCGAAGGCGUGGGGAGCGAACGGG
Molecule: ribosomal RNA, 253 nt
Filed under: uncultured bacterium
Lineage: Bacteria
Description: partial 16S ribosomal RNA
Rfam family: Bacterial small subunit ribosomal RNA
Source: RNAcentral